AUUGAUCUGGAGGAGCUAGAGGUGCAUUACUCAUAUUUCAGUGAUUCAUAAUGUUAACCGGAAUACAUGAGGGAAAUGCCUAUCUGCUCGAACAGGGAGUGCAUCAAGGAGCACAUGGACAUUCUGGAGUGAGAUUUGUUAGUGGAAUAAUAUUAAAGUCGAAGGCACUUGCUUUUGAGCGGAUGCUUUUUCGAGCUACAAGAGGAAACAUGUUAUUCAAUCAGGCAUCUGCAGGGGAACCUGUAACUGAUCCCAUAUCUGGUGAAGAGGUAGAGAAAGCUGUUUUUGUAGUUUUCUUCUGGGGAACAAGCAAAAGCAAAGAU
Molecule: long non-coding RNA, 323 nt
Organism: Zea mays
Lineage: Eukaryota; Viridiplantae; Streptophyta; Magnoliopsida; Poales; Poaceae
Exons: 3
Source: RefSeq, a predicted model, not a curated record